This 508-nucleotide ribosomal RNA is filed under the name uncultured bacterium. RNAcentral's name for it is "partial 16S ribosomal RNA". It matches the Rfam family "Bacterial small subunit ribosomal RNA", at positions 30 to 523 of the family's 1533-position model. The record is from RNAcentral.
AUUGAACGCUGGCGGCAUGCCUUACACAUGCAAGUCGAACGGCAGCGGGGGAGAAGCUUGCUUUUCCUGCCGGCGAGUGGCGAACGGGUGAGUAAUACAUCGGAACGUGCCCUGUAGUGGGGGAUAACUAGUCGAAAGAUUAGCUAAUACCGCAUACGACCUGAGGGUGAAAGUGGGGGACCGCAAGGCCUCAUGCUAUAGGAGCGGCCGAUGUCUGAUUAGCUAGUUGGUGGGGUAAAGGCCUACCAAGGCGACGAUCAGUAGAUGGUCUGCGAGGACGAUCAGCCACACUGGGACUACGACACGGCCCAGACUCCUACGGGAGGGAGCAGUGGGGAAUUUUGAACAAUGGGCGAAAGCCUGAUCCAGCAAUGCCGCGUGUGUGAAGAAGGCUUUCGGGCUGUAAAGCACUUUUGUCCGGAAAGAAAUGGCUCUGGUUAAUACCUGGGGUCGAUGACGGUACCGGAAGAAUAAGGACCGGCUAACUACGUGCCAGCAGCCGCCGUAA